GGAUUAGAUACCCUGGUAGUCCACGCAGUAAACGAUGAUCACUAGAUAUUUGCGACAUACUGUAAGUGUCUUAGCGAAAGCGAUAAGUGAUCCACCUGGGGAGUACGGUCGCAAGAUUGAAACUCAAAGGAAUUGACGGGGGCCCGCACAAGCGGUGGAGCAUGUGGUUUAAUUCGAUGAUACGCGAGGAACCUUACCAGGGCUUAAAUGUAGAUUGACAGUUUGAGAAAUCAGACCUUCUUCGGACAAUUUACAAGGUGCUGCAUGGUUGUCGUCAGCUCGUGCCG
Molecule: ribosomal RNA, 287 nt
Filed under: uncultured bacterium
Lineage: Bacteria
Description: partial 16S ribosomal RNA
Rfam family: Bacterial small subunit ribosomal RNA
Source: RNAcentral